GGAGGGGUGCGAGCGUUAAUCGGAAUUACUGGGCGUAAAGGGUACGUAGGCGGUUUUAUAAGUCAGAUGUGAAAUCCCCCGGGGCUUAACCUGGGGAACUGCAUUUGAAACUGUAUAACUAGAGUGAGUGAGAGGUUAGUGGAAUUCAAGGCGUAGCGGUGAAAUGCGUAGAGGUCUUGAGGAACAUCAGUGGCGAAGGCGGCUAACUGGCACUACACUGACGCUGAGGUACGAAAGCGUGGGGAGCGAACAGGAUUAGAUACCCUGGUAGUCCACGCCCUAAACGAUGAGGACUGGCUGUUGGCGCUAUAGACGCGUCGGUAGCGAAGCUAACGCGUUAAGUUCUCCGCCUGGGGAGUACGGCCGCAAAGGCUG
Molecule: ribosomal RNA, 375 nt
Filed under: uncultured organism
Description: partial 16S ribosomal RNA
Rfam family: Bacterial small subunit ribosomal RNA
Source: RNAcentral